UAAGUUCUGUAAAAACCCAGCCUGAUCCC
Molecule: non-coding RNA, 29 nt
Filed under: Mus musculus (house mouse)
Lineage: Eukaryota; Metazoa; Chordata; Mammalia; Rodentia; Muridae
Source: RNAcentral